ACGACUGGAUGCUCUAGUACGGCGAGUGAAGCAGCAAUAGCUCAAAUUUGAAAUCUGGCGUCUUCGACGUCCGAGUUGUAAUUUGUAGAGGAUGCUUCUGAGUGGCCACCGACCUAAGUUCCUUGGAACAGGACGUCAUAGAGGGUGAGAAUCCCGUAUGCGGUCGGAAAGGCGCUCUAUACGUAGCUCCUUCGACGAGUCGAGUUGUUUGGGAAUGCAGCUCUAAAUGGGAGGUAAAUUUCUUCUAAAGCUAAAUAUUGGCCAGAGACCGAUAGCGCACAAGUAGAGUGAUCGAAAGAUGAAAAGCACUUUGGAAAGAGAGUUAAAAAGCACGUGAAAUUGUUAAAAGGGAAGGGAUUGCAACCAGACUUGCUCGCGGUGUUCCGCCGGUCUUCUGACCGGUCUACUCGCCGCGUUGCAGGCCAGCAUCGUCUGGUGCCGCUGGAUAAGACUUGAGGAAUGUAGCUCCCUCGGGAGUGUUAUAGCCUCUUGUGAUGCAGCGAGCGCCGGGCGAGGUCCGCGCUUCGGCUAGGAUGCUGGCGUAAUGGUCGUAAUCCGCCCGUCUUGAAAACACGGAACCAA
This 582-nucleotide ribosomal RNA is filed under the name Cladosporium phlei. RNAcentral's name for it is "partial 28S ribosomal RNA". It matches the Rfam family "Eukaryotic large subunit ribosomal RNA", at positions 64 to 664 of the family's 3401-position model. The record is from RNAcentral. Lineage: Eukaryota; Fungi; Ascomycota; Dothideomycetes; Cladosporiales; Cladosporiaceae.